RNAcentral lists this ribosomal RNA (450 nucleotides) under uncultured bacterium. RNAcentral's name for it is "bacterial SSU rRNA". It matches the Rfam family "Bacterial small subunit ribosomal RNA", at positions 29 to 524 of the family's 1533-position model. The record is from RNAcentral.
AGCGAACGCUGGCGACAUGCUUAACACAUGCAAGUCGCACGGGCAGCAAUGUCAGUGGCGGACGGGUGAGUAACGCGUAGGAACAUGUCCAGUGGUGGGGGAUAACGUUGGGAAACUGACGCUAAUACCGCAUGAGCCCUGAGGGGGAAAGCAGCGAUGCGCCGAUGGAGUGGCCUGCGUAGGAUUAGCUUGUUGGUGGGGUAGUGGCCUACCAAGGCUACGAUCCUUAGCUGGUCUGAGAGGACGAUCAGCCACAUUGGGACUGAGACACGGCCCAAACUCCUACGGGAGGCAGCAGUGGGGAAUAUUGGACAAUGGGGGCAACCCUGAUCCAGCAAUGCCGCGUGUGUGAAGAAGGUCUUCGGAUUGUAAAGCACUUUCACCUGUGACGAUGAUGACGGUAGCAGGAGAAGAAGCACCGGCUAACUCCGUGCCAGCAGCCGCGGUAAU